This 253-nucleotide ribosomal RNA is filed under the name uncultured bacterium. Its description in RNAcentral is "partial 16S ribosomal RNA". It matches the Rfam family "Bacterial small subunit ribosomal RNA", at positions 524 to 776 of the family's 1533-position model. The record is from RNAcentral.
UACGUAGGGGGCAAGCGUUGUCCGGAUUUAUUGGGCGUAAAGAGCUCGUAGGCGGCUUGUCGCGUCGACUGUGAAAACCCGCGGCUCAACCGCGGGCCUGCAGUCGAUACGGGCAGGCUAGAGUUCGGUAGGGGAGACUGGAAUUCCUGGUGUAGCGGUGAAAUGCGCAGAUAUCAGGAGGAACACCGAUGGCGAAGGCAGGUCUCUGGGCCGAUACUGACGCUGAGGAGCGAAAGCGUGGGUAGCAAACGGG